GGGGGUGAUACGGCUUCGACAGGAGUAGAAGGUGCGGAAGUUGCAUGUCGAGGGUGCUGGGUGGCCUCGAAAAAAACCUGGCAAUACAACUUAAUUGCCGACGAACAGUUGGCUUUAGCUGCUUAAAUAGCAGUUACGUCUAUCUUGUUCUUGCCUGUAGAGUGAGAAUAGGCGCCGAUUAACAGGCUGGACAGAUUGUUUUGUUUGAGGCGGUCUGUUGAGAUUUUAUCAAACUAGUUUCUGUAACAUCCUGUUCGCUGGAGGUUAUAAGAGACGAGAGCUAAAUAGCGGAAUAAACAUGUAGAUGCUGCUGUAACUGUACUUUUGGAUGCGGGUUCGACUCCCGCCACCUCCACCA
Molecule: transfer-messenger RNA, 358 nt
Filed under: bacterium
Lineage: Bacteria
Rfam family: transfer-messenger RNA
About the family: Bacterial tmRNA, also known as 10Sa RNA or SsrA, is named for its dual tRNA and mRNA-like properties. Its role is to liberate the mRNA from a stalled ribosome. To accomplish this part of the tmRNA is used as a reading frame that ends in a translation stop signal.
Source: RNAcentral